UACGUAGGGGCAAGCGUUGUCCGGAUUUAUUGGCGUAAAGAGCUCGUAGGCGGUCUGUUGCGUCCGCUGUGAAACUCGGGCUUAACCCGAGCCUGCAGUGGUACGGCAGACUAGAGUGCGGUAGGGUGACUGGAAUUCCUGGUGUAGCGGUGGAAUGCGCAGAUAUCAGGAGGAACACCGGUGGCGAAGGCGGCAUCCUGGACCAAUUCUGACGCUGAGGAGCGAAAGCCAGGGAGCAAACGGG
RNAcentral lists this ribosomal RNA (244 nucleotides) under uncultured bacterium. RNAcentral describes it as "partial 16S ribosomal RNA". It matches the Rfam family "Bacterial small subunit ribosomal RNA", at positions 524 to 776 of the family's 1533-position model. The record is from RNAcentral.